Molecule: long non-coding RNA, 413 nt
Organism: Pantherophis guttatus
Lineage: Eukaryota; Metazoa; Chordata; Lepidosauria; Squamata; Colubridae
Source: RefSeq, a predicted model, not a curated record
AUUGAGACAACAGUCCUCCAGACUGUCCUUGCUUGGACUCCCAGGACAUGGGGUAAGGACACAAGACCAGUAGCGCAGUGGCUCUGUGGUUAGAAUGGAGACUGGUCGAUCAGCAAGUCCAGGUUUGAGACCUGAAUACUGCAUGGUGAAUUCCCACCACUCGCUCCAGCUUCUGUCCACCUAGCAGUAUGAAGGCAUGUGUAAAUGUGAUUAGAUGAAUAGGUAUCACUUCUGUGGAACUCACGCAAGGAGAGAAGGGAGCCCUCAUUGGAUGUCUCCUAGGCAACAGUGAUGUCACUAAUAUCUCUCAACCCAGAAGCACCUUGAAGUGCCAAAUAUCUAUUGUCUCCAAUACUGUAGACUCCCAGCUUUCUGUAAAAUUGCCCUAUGGUAAAUAAACAAAUAAAUAAGAA